Microtus ochrogaster (prairie vole) is the source of this 5060-nucleotide RNA transcript. It is a transcript of the gene named AT-rich interaction domain 4A, with no coding region annotated. Lineage: Eukaryota; Metazoa; Chordata; Mammalia; Rodentia; Cricetidae. The record is from RefSeq and is a predicted model, not a curated record.
UGUGGCAGUAAAUCGGGGCGAGUGGGGAACCCGGCGCAGGAACUGCCGCUGCGGCCGGGAGCGGUGCUUCCCGGACGGGGGCCCACGGCGGUCGGUAGGGCGGCGGACUGGAGAGCUGACAGCGCGCUGCACUCGCAGUAGGGACCGGGAAGAGAACUCGUGGAAGCUGGAACCCCACAGGUCACCAGUCAAGAUGAAGGCGGCAGAUGAGCCUGCCUACCUGACAGUGGGAACUGACGUCAGUGCCAAGUACCGAGGAGCCUUCUGUGAGGCGAAGAUCAAGACUGUGAAAAGGCUGGUGAAAGUCAAGGUGUUGUUGAAACAGGAUAACACAACACAGUUGGUGCAAGAUGACCAAGUAAAGGGUCCCUUAAGAGUCGGAGCUAUUGUUGAAACAAGGACAUCUGAUGGAUCCUUCCAGGAAGCUAUUAUCAGCAAGUUGACAGAUGCUAGUUGGUAUACCGUGGUGUUUGAUGACGGGGAUGAGAGAACGCUGCGCCGCACCUCACUUUGCCUGAAAGGGGAGAGACACUUUGCUGAGAGUGAGACGCUUGACCAGCUUCCUUUAACAAAUCCAGAGCACUUUGGAACACCAGUUAUUGCAAAGAAGGCAAACAGAGGGAGGAGGUCGUCACUUCCUAUCACUGAAGACGAAAAGGAAGAAGAAAGCAGUGAAGAGGAGGAUGAGGAUGAGCGGCGUCUCAGUGAUGGCUUACUGGGAAAGGUGGUGCGUGUGACCACUGCAGCGGAGAGGCCGGAGUGGUACCCUGCUUUGGUCAUCUCUCCCAGCUGCAAUGAUGAUGUCACAGUGAAAAAGGACCAGUGUUUAGUUCGAUCAUUUAUUGAUUCUAAAUUUUACUCCAUAGCAAGAAAGGACAUUAAGGAACUAGACAUUCUCAAUCUGCCGGAAUCUGAGCUCUGUGCUAAACCAGGGCUGCAGAGAGCAAGUAUCUUCUUAAAAGCUAGAAUCGUUCCUGAUAAUUGGAAAAUGGACAUAAGUGAGAUUCUUGAGUCAUCCAGCAGUGAUGAUGAGGAAGACUGCCCAGCUGAGGAGAACGAAGAGGAGAAGGAAAAAGAAGCCAAGAAGGAGGAAGAAGAACUGCCUGAGGAAGAACCUGAUCCUGAAGAGAGGGACAACUUCCUGCAGCAGCUUUAUAAGUUUAUGGAAGACAGAGGUACUCCAAUCAACAAACCUCCUGUUCUGGGCUACAAAGACCUCAAUCUCUUCAAGCUCUUUAGACUGGUCUACCACCAGGGGGGAUGUGACAAUAUUGACAGUGGUGCUGUAUGGAAGCAAAUUUAUAUGGACCUUGGCAUUCCAAUUUUGAACUCAGCUGCUUCCUACAAUGUAAAAACUGCUUAUAGAAAAUAUCUCUAUGGUUUUGAGGAGUACUGCCGUUCUGCAAAUAUUCAGUUCAGAACUAUUCACCACCAUGAACCCAAAGUAAAAGUUGAGAAAAAAGACUUUGAAGAAUCCAUGGAAGAGGCUCUAAACGCGAACCAGGAGAUGCCUUUGAUGGAGGUGAAGAGUGAGCCCGAGGAGAACACCGAAUCCAGCAGUGAGAGCGACAGAGAGGACACAGAGCAGAAGUCUCCAAGAGGGCGAAGGAAAAUUGUUCGAGAUGCAAAUGCUAUUAAAAAAGAAAUAGAAGAAGAGAAAAUAGAAGAUAAAUUCAUCAAAGAUGAUACAGAAAAUAAGGAUGUCGAUGAAGACUAUGAAACAGCAGAGAAAAAAGAAAAUGAGCUGCUACUCGGGAGAAAAAGUACACCAAAGCACAAAGAGAAGAAACUUAAAAGGCCAGAGGCUUCUGAGAAAGACUCAGAUGAAGAGGAAGAGCCAAGCCAAGAGAGGGAAGACACUGAGAGCAAAUGCGACUCGGAAGGGGAGGAUGAUGACGAUGACACAGAACCCUGCCUGACGGGAACCAAAGUGAAAGUGAAGUAUGGACGAGGAAAAACGCAGAAAAUUUAUGAAGCCAGCAUUAAAAGCACCGAGAUCGAUGACGGGGAGGUUUUAUACUUGGUGCAUUAUUAUGGAUGGAAUGUCAGGUACGAUGAAUGGGUAAAGGCCGACAGGAUAAUCUGGCCCGUGGACAAAGGUGGACCAAAGAAAAAACAAAAGAAGAAAGUUAAGAAUAAAGAGGAUGGUGAAAAGGACGAAAAGAGGGAUGAAGAGAGGCAGAAGUCAAAACGAGGGAGACCUCCUUUAAAAUCCACGCCCUACAGUUUAUCUAAGGCGGCCAACAGCGAAGGGAAAUCAGACUCUUGUUCAUCUGAUAGUGAAACAGAAGACCCUUUGGAGAAGAGCUUGAUAAGUGAAGAACUUUCUCCUGAUAUUAAAGAAGAAUUAGAAAAAAGUGAAAAUUUGAAUGAUGAUAAACUAGAUGAAGAAAAUCCAAAGAUUAUACAUCUAUUAAAAGAAAAUGACAGGACUCAGAUGCAGCCCUCAGAGACCCUGAAGGUGGAGGUCGAAGACAAUGAUCAAGUAGUUCAUAUUUUUGGAAACAAAGUGGAACAAAUAGAAGAAGCUAAGAAACAGGUGGAAAAGUCCCCUAAAGGAAAGGGAAGGCGGAGUAAGACGAAAGACCUUUCUUUAGACAUUGUAAAGCUCUCGUCAUUCAACCAGGAAGAAGCAGGCCCUGAAGCUCCUGCAGACACUCCUGGCCUGGAGUUUUCGUCACUAGAAUGUAAAAACUUCUCUUCUCCGGAAGAUGAGGUUGACCAAUAUGAAAAAGAGAAAAAGUUGAAACGGAAACUACUGGGACAGCCAUCUCCAGAGAAAAAAGUAAGGCUUGAGAAUGGGAUGGAAGCAGCAGCUGGCCUGUCCCAAGACAGAGCCAGCGAUGGUGCUGGAACUGAGGGCCGGAGAGGCUUGCAUUUUGAACAGCACUUUGAAACAGGAAGUGAAGGAAUGCCAUCACUGAUAGCAGAGCCAGACCAGGGCACUCAGGAGCUGACCAGUGAGAAAUCAGACAGCCCAGCUGAAGAACCUGUGCAUACGCCACUCAAGGAGGAGGAGGACGUGAUGCCUCUGAUUGGGCCCGAAACCUUGGUUUGCCAUGAGGUGGACUUGGACGACUUGGAUGAGAAGGAAAAGAGCGGUACUGAGGAUGUGGUAGUGGAAAGCUCUGAGUCUAACGCUCUGGUCUCCGUCCCGCCUGCCCUGCCUCCUGUAGCACAGCAUAACUUUUCAGUAGCUUCCCCUCUCGCUCUCAGUCAGGACGAGUCCCGGAGUGUAAAGAGCGAGAGCGAUAUAACAAUUGAAGUUGAUAGUAUUGCCGAAGAAUCGCAAGAAGGCCUCUGUGAGAGGGGAUCAGCAAACGGGUUUGAAGCCAGCGGUGCCCCUGGUACCUGUAGUUUAAUUGUCCAAGAGAGAGAGAGCAGAGAGAAGGGUCAGAAGAGGCCAAGCGAUGGAAAUAGUGGGUUGAUGGCAAAAAAACAGAAGCGAACCCCAAAGCGAACAAGUGCUACAGCCAAAAGCGAGAAGAACGGAGCAGGACAAAGCAGUGACAGUGAAGAUCUCCCCACCAUAGACAGUUCCAGCAAAUGCACGCCAGUCAAGCAUCUCAGCCUGUCUAAGCCGCAGAAGCUGCCUCGCUCCCCUGCAAGGAUCUCGCCUCACAUCAAAGAUGGAGAGAAAGAGAAGCACAGAGAAAAGCACCCAAAUUCAUCCCCCCGGACAUAUAAGUGGAGCUUCCAACUCAACGAAUUAGAUAAUAUGAACAGUACAGAGAGAAUCUCUUUUCUCCAAGAAAAACUACAGGAAAUCAGAAAAUACUACAUGUCUUUGAAGUCUGAAGUUGCAACCAUAGACAGGAGGAGGAAAAGAUUAAAAAAGAAAGACAGAGAAGUGUCCCAUGCAGGAGCGUCUAUGUCAUCUGCUUCGUCAGACACUGGAAUGAGUCCCUCUUCAUCAUCUCCCCCGCAAAACGUCCUUGCUGUUGAGUGCAGGUGAUGAAAGUUUCCCCAUCUUCCAGCAGUUUGCUGCCAUGGACUGAAAUUACAACACUCUGAACUCCAACCACAGAGAGCACUCAGCUGGCGAAGGACCUCCUGUAUAUUUUCCAGGAUUGUCUGUAUCCUCCUCUCUUCUUUUUUACUGUUGCAAAAAAUAAGCUUAUUAAUAAUUGAAGGUUAGGUGACCUGCCAUAUUGGUCAUAUUUUUUCCUCUAUAUUUUCUUUUUCUUUCUUUCUUUUUUUUUGGUGAUAGAGAAAAAGGGCACUUAGCAAAUUUGAAUUUGUAUGAUAAAGCUUUCAGGUGUUCUAGAAAUCCUAGACAAGCGAGUGCACGUGAUAAACAUCAGACCAUACCUGGCUGGACAGUGACCGCUGCACUUUCACUGUGUGUGAACAUGAACACUUGGAGAUCGUAUCUGCAGCCACAUGCGCUGCAGGGAAUCCGUGUCAGCCCUUCCAACAGAACAGCUGUCCGUUGGCAUCUGGAUCGUCAGCGUGUCCUUGUAUAGAGACUUGGCAGUCCUAGUAUCUGAACUGUCUGGAGGAUCAGAUUCUUGGUUGCCCUUCAGAUGCUUUGUCACAGCUUUUUGUUUGCUAUACUGCCGAAUAAAUGACACCUCCCACAGUCGAGAUGCACCCAUCACGCUGAGCCACUGUGUGCGCCCUAUCUGUGGCGUGUUCCACAGGCCUGCGCAUGCGUAAAUAAUUCUUCCAGAAUCAUGUAUUUAAAGCAGUUUUGCAUAUACGUUAUGUAAAAGAUGUGAUUUUUUUAAAAACAAUUUUUAAACUCAUGUCUGUACAUGAAAAGGAGUUGUUUUGGAGCCGCCUUUUCUGUGGUUCAUGUGCUGUAGCGUGAAGGCCUGGGUGCUCCAGACCGUGGCAGACAGGCACAACACACUUGCCAUGGCAGCGCAGAGCCUCACUGAAAUCAUUGUCUCAACCUCAUCUGCCACAUUGUGAACUUGUUAUUCAGAUUUCUUCCACUUUCUCAGAGAAUUAAAACAAAAAAGUACUCUUGUAAUAUGAACUUUCCUGUCUUUUAUUUGCAAAGCAGAAGUAUUUCAAUGUAAAAUAAAAACGGAGCCCAGUGGGCGUUUCUUAAA